GCUCAAUCGGUUAAGUGGCUGACUCUUGGUUUCGGCCUAGGUCAUGAUCUCAUGGUUUUGUGGGUUCGAGUCCCACAUUGGGCU
RNAcentral lists this transfer RNA (84 nucleotides) under Felis catus (domestic cat). It matches the Rfam family "tRNA". From Rfam's summary of the family: Transfer RNA (tRNA) molecules are approximately 80 nucleotides in length. Lineage: Eukaryota; Metazoa; Chordata; Mammalia; Carnivora; Felidae. The record is from Rfam by way of RNAcentral.